RNAcentral lists this ribosomal RNA (403 nucleotides) under Fusobacteriota bacterium. RNAcentral's name for it is "Fusobacteria bacterium partial 16S ribosomal RNA". It matches the Rfam family "Bacterial small subunit ribosomal RNA", at positions 355 to 776 of the family's 1533-position model. Lineage: Bacteria; Fusobacteriati; Fusobacteriota. The record is from RNAcentral.
UGGGGAAUCCUGCACAAUGGGGGAAACCCUGAUGCAGCGACGCCGCGUGAGCGAUGAAGGUUUUCGAAUCGUAAAGCUCUGUCCUAUGGGAAGAUAAUGACGGUACCAUGGGAGGAAGCCCCGGCUAACUACGUGCCAGCAGCCGCGGUAAUACGUAGGGGGCGAGCGUUGUCCGGAAUUACUGGGCGUAAAGGGUUCGCAGGCGGCAUGGCAAGUCCGAUGUAAAAGGCGAAGGCUCAACCUUCGUAAGCAUCGGAAACUGUCAAGCUUGAGUGAAGGAGAGGCAAGUGGAAUUCCUAGUGUAGCGGUGGAAUGCGUAGAUAUUAGGAGGAAUACCGGUGGCGAAGGCGACUUGCUGGACUUCAACUGACGCUGAGGAACGAAAGCGUGGGUAGCAAACAGG